This 486-nucleotide ribosomal RNA is filed under the name uncultured bacterium. RNAcentral's name for it is "partial 16S ribosomal RNA". It matches the Rfam family "Bacterial small subunit ribosomal RNA", at positions 30 to 507 of the family's 1533-position model. The record is from RNAcentral.
AUUGAACGCUGGCGGAAUGCUUUACACAUGCAAGUCGAACGGCAGCACGGGAGCUUGCUCCUGGUGGCGAGUGGCGAACGGGUGAGUAACAUAUCGGAACGUACCCAGUCGUGGGGGAUAACUAUCCGAAAGGAUAGCUAAUACCGCAUACGUCCUGAGGGAGAAAGCGGGGGAUCGCAAGACCUCGCGCGAUUGGAGCGGCCGAUAUCGGAUUAGCUAGUUGGUGGGGUAAAGGCUCACCAAGGCGACGAUCCGUAGCGGGUCUGAGAGGACGACCCGCCACACUGGAACUGAGACACGGUCCAGACUCCUACGGGAGGCAGCAGUGGGGAAUUUUGGACAAAGGGGGCAACCCUGAUCCAGCCAUUCCGCGUGAGUGAAGAAGGCCUUCGGGUUGUAAAGCUCUUUCAGCAGGAACGAAACGGUCGGCUUUAAUAAAGUCGGCUAAUGUCGGUACCUGCAGAAGAAGCACCGGCUAACUACGUG